Non-coding RNA from Vicugna pacos (alpaca), 1656 nucleotides. NCBI's taxonomy places the organism in Eukaryota, Metazoa, Chordata, Mammalia, Artiodactyla, Camelidae. The record is from RefSeq and is a predicted model, not a curated record.
AACCAAGUGCCCUGCCAGCCUGUUCUCACUUCAGUUAGAAGGAACCGUGGGAAUCGUCUGUGCCUGUUGGAGGCACACAGACCCUGAGGACACCCAGGCAGAUGAGAAAACUGAGGUUCAGAGAAGUUAAGAAGCAUAAUCAGUCGUAAACUUGAAAGAAGGAUCAGCUACCUAAUUGGCAGGGCCCAGUUCAAAACGAAGAUGCAAGUCCUCUUUAGUCAAAAGAUUAUGCAGAAUUUCAAGACAUACACAGAGCAUUAAAGCAAGCACAGGCCCCUCUGAGUAGGGGCCGCGGUCUACCACACAGGUUGCACACCCACGAAGCUGGUCCUGCUUAUGUCAAAACUCAUUCUAAAACCUAUGUCACUUUUCUGUUUCACCAUGUAUGGGAGCCAAGUGACUUUAUGGAACCUAAGAGAAUAGAAAAUAAUGCUUCUGGGUACAGUACGGAGAAUUUUUCCUGGAAGUAAUCACAGUCAAGCCUCUGUGGCUGUGUGCAUAUAAACCAAAGGGUGACAAAAUCUUGGGACUCAAGCAGAAAUGCCAUGGAAUCCUUUUCAGUAGGUGCAAUCAAGUGAAUAAAAAUAAAUGACGGAACCCAUUGCUUCAUUUUCUUUGCCUCCAUCUUAUAAUUCCAAGAACCCCAGCAUGGUUCUCUUAGACCCAUGGGGUCUUGGAUAAAUGGAUUCAUCCAGAAAUUCAUUAAGUGAUGAUGAAAAGGAGGCAGACCUUGGAAGCAGGAACCAUGAAGACCCCAUGCAGAGAAGCGACAACUUUGUUACUGUCAGAAGCCCAGAGGGUGCUGAAGCUAAGAGCUUAGAAGAGAAGCAGCUGCAAUCAGUGUCAUGAUCCCAGGGGAGAAGUGAGAGUGGAAAUUCAGGGCAGACUGACAUGAGUUCAUGUGAGAACCUCCUCCCACAUGAUCCCACCCCGAGACACACAGGGACUAGACGAGAAGGGAAGAGAAAGAAUUGCUUCUGCAGAUGUACAGGUCAUGGUUGGGACCUAAGUUGUCAUUCUGAAGUUCACUUUCCUAGGACCUUGGUGUGACAAUUAUUUAUGAAGCCACAAUUAUCCUGUGAUGUUUGCCUUUAAAAUCUAGCUGCUUCUGCUCCUGCCAUUCUGAGGAUGAUAGAAACCAACCGAAUCCUUAGCAGCUACCCCCAUCUCACAGAAAACCACCACCCCAUAUAUCUUUGGACACUGAAACAACCCAUCUGUGAUCACCGGACCAGGUGUUAACAUAAUCAACACAGACAUUUCCUUCCUGACUCAACCUGAUUAAUGGCUUAAUCUGUCUAUGGUAUCAUUUCUGGAAAACACAAAGGAGACUUUUCAUAUAAGCCUGUCAGAAAAGAUUCAGGCUCAGAAAAAGCAAUCUUUUAAUCACCCUCAGUUGGGCUAUCUCCAAGACGGCUUCUAGUGGAGCAAAGAUUAGGACACGUAGUCAUUUCAGAUGUGUCAUUCUCAGUGUUCUGACCUGCAGUCAGAAUCUAGAACAACUUGAGAUGAAGCCAUCGGUAGGUUUAUGAUGAAGGAUAGCUUUUAGAUUAGACACCAAAGACCUGGACUAACUCAGAAACUCCAAGAAUACUUGGCUACCUAAAUAGAAUGAUGUCCUGAAAUCAAAUAGAAAAAUACAGAGGUAUUAAUGUU